This 1516-nucleotide long non-coding RNA is filed under the name Homo sapiens (human). Its description in RNAcentral is "HSALNT0409065". Lineage: Eukaryota; Metazoa; Chordata; Mammalia; Primates; Hominidae. The record is from RNAcentral.
GGAAGUCCCGCCUGCGGCUCCCAGACCCCAGCCCUUUGCAGCCUCUCUGAGUCCCCCAUCGCCGCCUCUGAGCUCUCCCGUCGCCCUCCCGCCAAUCCCUACUCGGUUUUGCUGCCUUCUAUCCCUCCACCCCCAGCAACGCCCAGCUCCCAAGCCUCUUGGCCGGCCCGCCCUGCGACCCCCCAGUUCCCCGCUUACGGACCUUGGGAUCUCCGCUGCCGCCGCCGUCGCUGCCACCGCCUGCUGUGCCCGACCCGCCGCUUGCCUCUCUCUGCCGUUCGCCCUGGGACGGGCGGACGGAGCUCGGCUCCGGCGGGCUCAGACCUCCCUGCUCGAUUCUCGGGCGCGGGGGUCUGUGCUCCGCCGCCCGGGAUCUGCCCGGGAGCCGUCCUGGAGCCCCAGGGCCGCGGCGAGCGGGCUCUUGGCCCGGCUAGGGAGAGGCCACUGCGUUGCGCUCUGGUAAGGGCCGCCGCGGCCGCCGCGAACUUAACUUUCACAGAGCAGGUCGCAGCCCCGCUGCUCCCUCCGCGUCAGUUCGGUCCGCGCUGCCUCAGCGCGGCCGCCCUUGCGGCGUCCGGCUCGGCUUGCUGUCCCCGGGCGAAUCGCCUGACUCUCCCGCUCGGGUGCCGGCUCCCUCCGCAUCAGGCCCCGACGGGACAGGGAUCCUCGGGCUGCCGCGCACCACGGGAACGCUUUGUACUUGGAUGCCCAAAGCUAAUUCUCUGUGCUCUCUCGGCCUUGAGAACCUCCACGUUUAGAGGGCCGGGACAGAAUACUACCACCCCCAGGCUUGCGGGGAAUUUGGGAGCAGGGAUGUUCAAUAUGAGGGCACUGUCCAUAGAUUCUCUAUUCGGGGAGCUCAAAAACUAACGCCCUAGGGGUUGCAAGUCUCUGCACACUGGGUAGGGAGAAGAAGGGGUGGCUUACCAGAAUUCCGGAGCUUCUUGUUCUUCGUCACAGCCAAAAUGACCAUGGAGUUGCCGAUUAGGUCUACAACGAUGGUGAUAACCAUCGCGCAGAACAUAAAGAUGAUUAGAGCCGGAAACUCAGGACGAGAGGCUCUGACGCCUCUCCCUCUCGGGAUGCUCGGCAUUCUCUACUGAGCGGCACGGGGCAGUCAGGAAGGCUGAAGGAGCUGCGCCGCAGCCGCGGGAAAGGUGCGGAGGUGUCACGCGGCUAAACCAAGAAGCCUCUGGCUGACCGGCGAUCCCUGCCUCAGUCAGGAUUCCUCUCGGUCUUUCUCCUUUCCCAUGCCCUUCUGGGGUUCUCGUUUCGACCCCAUCCCUCUCAGGCCUCCCCCCUCGCCCUCCACACCGCGGAUCUCUGUCCCCGUGCGUCACAGUUCCCCUGCGGUGCGCCCAGGAUCUCGCUCCGCGGGGACCACGGAAAAUUCGAAUAUUCGGGCAAAACUAAAGGGGCGUGAUUCGGACACUCGUUCCCUCAAUAACCUUGGUCACGGGAAUGGAUUUCUGCCGGCUACUAAAAGUUACGGCUCCUGUCGAGAAGCCUUUCAAAA